Molecule: regulatory RNA element, 447 nt
Organism: Hafnia alvei FB1
Lineage: Bacteria; Pseudomonadati; Pseudomonadota; Gammaproteobacteria; Enterobacterales; Hafniaceae
Rfam family: cspA thermoregulator
Source: Rfam
CUCGGUUUGUAAUGCAGAACCAGUAUGAAAGACAUUUUAGUAAAGCAGUUCUUUGUUUAGCGAUGUGUAUCACUUCGCUCAUGAAUUUCCUUCUUUAGUGCUCCCGUACGUCCUCUGAUAGAACAGACCCUUUUCGCCCGAGAGCGGCGACUCUACUUUAAAUAUAUUAGGAAAUAUCAUGUCUGAUAAAAUGACUGGCUUAGUAAAAUGGUUUGACGCUGGUAAAGGUUUCGGCUUCAUCACUCCAGACAACGGCAGCAAAGACAUCUUCGUUCACUUCUCUGCAAUCCAGAGCACCGCAUUCAAAACUCUGGACGAAGGCCAGCGUGUUGAGUUCACUGUUGAAAACGGCCAGAAAGGUCCUUCAGCAGCUAACGUUGUAGCUCUGUAAUAUUGCUUUUAAGUGACCACCAGAGUUUGCGAUUUUGGGUAACCAUAAAUUGCUAA